Molecule: unclassified non-coding RNA, 197 nt
Filed under: uncultured Ascomycota
Lineage: Eukaryota; Fungi; Ascomycota
Description: sequence contains ITS1
Source: RNAcentral
AAGAGUUAUUUAACUCCUAAAACCCCAUGUGAACUUACCUAUGUUGCCUCGGCGGGGAACCUACCCGGGAGCUGCUCUUGAGCGGCCUAUCCGGUACCUACUCGGUAGCUACGCUGUAGUUGUAGGCUUACCCGCCGGCGGACCAUUAAAAACUCUUAUUUAUUUUGGCACUUCUGAAUUAUUAUCAUAAUAAGUUA